RNAcentral lists this unclassified non-coding RNA (400 nucleotides) under soil metagenome. RNAcentral's name for it is "partial contains 5.8S ribosomal RNA, internal transcribed spacer 2, and large subunit ribosomal RNA". The stretch from base 1 to 122 matches the Rfam family "5.8S ribosomal RNA", at positions 35 to 154 of the family's 154-position model. The record is from RNAcentral.
GAUGAAGAACGUAGCGAAAUGCGAUACUUGGUGUGAAUUGCAGAAUCCCGUGAACCAUCGAGUCUUUGAACGCAAGUUGCGCCUCAAGCCAUUAGGUUGAGGGCACGUCUGCCUGGGCGUCACAUAUCGUUGCCUGAUGCCAGGUUCCUCGUGAUGGGUGACUGUGCAGGGCGAAUGAUGGCUUCCCGUGAGCAUUGUUGCCUCAUGGUUGGUUGAAAAUUGAGUCCUUGGUAGGGAGCGCCGUGAUAGAUGGUGGUUGAGUGACGAACGAGACCCAAUCAUGUGAGACCCCUACCGAAUUUGGCCUUCAUGACCCACAUGCGUCUUUGGAACGCUCAUGACGAGACCUCAGGUCAGGCGGGGCUACCCGCUGAGUUUAAGCAUAUCAAUAAGCGGAGGA